CGGGCCCGCUCCGGCUUCGCCGCCCCGCGCCCAUCCGUGCACUGCCCGGGGCCCGCCGCCCUGCAGAGGAGCACAGAAUAGCCUGAGCUGGAAGGGAGCCACACGCGAGCACAACCCUUAGCUCUGCACAGGACAUCCCCAAGAAUCACUCCGUGUGCCUGAGAGCGUUGCCCGAACGCUUCUGUGGUUCUGGUUCGCCGUGGCUCUGGCCACGACGGUGCUGGUGCAAACCCACGUUGGUUGUUGUAGCUGGAACAUGGAGGAAUAGGCAGAGUGGCAGAAAUAUCUUCUGGUGGGGUGGGAAAAGGUAAUGGCUGUCCUCAGGUGAAGGUCUUGGCUUGUAUUAGGGAACAGUCACAGCAUUCUUGAGAGGAGAGGCAGAAGAGUGCUCUCACAAGUCCCAUCCUUGCACCAUGCCUUUCUGCUGCUGUGGAGAGAGAGAAGAAAAGAUCAGCUUGGGAAAGACCAUUCUGGGGAAAAUUGUUCUGUGAAAUACAUCUUAUGAUGAACAGUACGAAGGAAUUGGAGCUGUACCAUAACUUAGCAGAUAGGUUAUGGUUAAAAAGCCUCACACAGCUACCUAAUCUGCCAGAUGUUUCUUUGGAUCGUGAAUGGAAGGGUGCCAGGACUUCAAGAUUAGGGCUUCCAGCUGAUCUGCACAGACCCAAGUGA
RNAcentral lists this long non-coding RNA (672 nucleotides) under Cyanistes caeruleus (blue tit). RNAcentral describes it as "lncRNA (ENSCCEG00000007055.1)". The record is from RNAcentral. Lineage: Eukaryota; Metazoa; Chordata; Aves; Passeriformes; Paridae.